UACAGAGGGUGCGAGCGUUAAUCGGAUUUACUGGGCGUAAAGCGCGCGUAGGCGGCUUUUUAAGUCGGAUGUGAAAUCCCCGAGCUUAACUUGGGAAUUGCAUUCGAUACUGGGAAGCUAGAGUAUGGGAGAGGAUGGUAGAAUUCCAGGUGUAGCGGUGAAAUGCGUAGAGAUCUGGAGGAAUACCGAUGGCGAAGGCAGCCAUCUGGCCUAAUACUGACGCUGAGGUGCGAAAGCAUGGGGAGCAAAC
RNAcentral lists this ribosomal RNA (250 nucleotides) under uncultured prokaryote. Its description in RNAcentral is "partial 16S ribosomal RNA". It matches the Rfam family "Bacterial small subunit ribosomal RNA", at positions 524 to 773 of the family's 1533-position model. The record is from RNAcentral.